RNAcentral lists this ribosomal RNA (393 nucleotides) under uncultured bacterium. RNAcentral describes it as "bacterial SSU rRNA". It matches the Rfam family "Bacterial small subunit ribosomal RNA", at positions 30 to 420 of the family's 1533-position model. The record is from RNAcentral.
AUUGAACGCUGGCGGCAUGCCUUACACAUGCAAGUCGAACGGCAGCACGGGAGCAAUCCUGGUGGCGAGUGGCGAACGGGUGAGUAAUAUAUCGGAACGUGCCCAGUCGUGGGGGAUAACGUAGCGAAAGCUACGCUAAUACCGCAUACGAUCUAUGGAUGAAAGCGGGGGAUCGCAAGACCUCGCGCGAUUGGAGCGGCCGAUAUCAGAUUAGGUAGUUGGUGAGGUAAAGGCUCACCAAGCCGACGAUCUGUAGCUGGUCUGAGAGGACGACCAGCCACACUGGGACUGAGACACGGGCCCCAGACUCCUACGGGAGGCAGCAGUGGGGAAUUUUUGGACAAUGGGCGCAAGCCUGAUCCAGCAAUGCCGCGUGCAGGAUGAAGGCCUCGG